CCUACGGGAGGCAGCAGUGGGGAAUAUUGGGCAAUGGGCGAAAGCCUGACCCAGCGACGCCGCGUGAGUGAUGAAGGCCCUCGGGUCGUAAAACUCUGUCAUGCGGGACGAACAGCCUGAGCUCUAACAGGGUUCAGGCCUGACGGUACCGCAGGAGGAAGCCCCGGCUAACUCCGUGCCAGCAGCCGCGGUAACACGGAGGGGGCGAGCGUUAUUCGGAAUUAUUGGGCGUAAAGGGCAGGCAGGCUGCCUCGUAUGUCUCCUGUGAAAGCCCUCGGCUUACCCGAGGAACUGCAGGAGAAACUGCGAGGCUUGAGUCCGGGAGAGGGUAGUGGAAUUCCCAGUGUAGCGGUGAAAUGCGUAGAUAUUGGGAGGAACACCAGUGGCGAAGGCGGCUACCUGGACCGGUACUGACGCUGAACUGCGAAAGCCAGGGGAGCGAACGGGAUUAGAUACCCCGGUAGUCCUGGCUGUAAACGAUGGACACUUGGUGUGGCGGGUAUCGACCCCUGCCGUGCCGGAGCUAACGUGUUAAGUGUCCCGCCUGGGGAGUACGGUCGCAAGGCUGAAACUCAAAUGAAUGACGAAUCGUCGACCGCCCGGCCCC
RNAcentral lists this ribosomal RNA (607 nucleotides) under uncultured Desulfomonile sp. RNAcentral's name for it is "bacterial SSU rRNA". It matches the Rfam family "Bacterial small subunit ribosomal RNA", at positions 338 to 1401 of the family's 1533-position model. The record is from RNAcentral. Lineage: Bacteria; Pseudomonadati; Thermodesulfobacteriota; Desulfomonilia; Desulfomonilales; Desulfomonilaceae.